CCUACGGGAGGCAGCAGUGGGGAAUCUUGCACAAUGGGGGAAACCCUGAUGCAGCGACGCCGCGUGAGCGAUGAAGCCCUUCGGGGCGUAAAGCUCUUUCGACAGGAACGAUAAUGACGGUACCUGGAGAAGAAGCUGCGGCUAACUACGUGCCAGCAGCCGCGGUAAU
Molecule: ribosomal RNA, 169 nt
Filed under: uncultured bacterium
Lineage: Bacteria
Description: partial 16S ribosomal RNA
Rfam family: Bacterial small subunit ribosomal RNA
Source: RNAcentral